GACGAACGCUGGCGGCGUGCUUAACACAUGCAAGUCGAACGGAAAGGCCUGCUUUCCCUUGUGGAUUGCGGGUACUCGAGUGGCGAACGGGUGAGUAACACGUGAGUGAUCUGCCCCCAACUUGGGGAUAAGCCUGGGAAACUGGGUCUAAUUCCCGAUAGGACUGCAGGGUGGUGCCUGUGGUGGAAAACGAUUUUCUAGUGGUUGGGGAUGAGCUCGCGGCCUAUCAGCUUGUUGGUGGGGUAAUGGCCUACCAAGGCGGCGACGGGUAGCCGGCCUGAGAGGGUGGACGGCCACAUUGGGACUGAGAUACGGCCCAGACUCCGACGGGAGGCAGCAGUGGGGAAUAUUGCACAAUGGGCGGAAGCCUGAUGCAGCGACGCCGCGUGGGGGAUGACGGCCUUCGGGUUGUAAACUCCUUUCGACCGCGAGGAAGCCACCUGGUUGGAAGGGUGGUGACGGUAGUGGUAGAAGAAGCACCGGCUAACUACGU
Molecule: ribosomal RNA, 493 nt
Filed under: uncultured bacterium
Lineage: Bacteria
Description: partial 16S ribosomal RNA
Rfam family: Bacterial small subunit ribosomal RNA
Source: RNAcentral